RNAcentral lists this unclassified non-coding RNA (251 nucleotides) under Coniochaetaceae sp. RNAcentral describes it as "partial contains 5.8S ribosomal RNA, internal transcribed spacer 2, and large subunit ribosomal RNA". Lineage: Eukaryota; Fungi; Ascomycota; Sordariomycetes; Coniochaetales; Coniochaetaceae. The record is from RNAcentral.
CGCACAUUGCGCCCGCCAGUAUUCUGGCGGGCAUGCCUGUCCGAGCGUCAUUUCAACCCUCAAGCCCUGCUUGGUGUUGGGGUCCUACGGCUCUCGUCGUAGGCCCUGAAAGCUAGUGGCGGGCUCGCUACAACUCCGAGCGCAGUAGUGUAUCUCGCUGCGGAGGCUCGUGGCGGGCUCCAGCCGUUAACCCCCCCCCCCAAUUUUACAAGGUUGACCUCGGAUCAGGUAGGAAUACCCGCUGAACUUAA